GAUGAACGCUAGCUACAGGCUUAACACAUGCAAGUCGCGGGGCAGCAUUUUCUUAGCUUGCUAAGGAAGAUGGCGACCGGCGCACGGGUGAGUAACGCGUAUCCAACCUUCCCAUGUCCACGGGAUAGCCCGUCGAAAGGCGGAUUAAUACCGUAUGAGGUCACAUGCGGGCAUCUAAGUGUGACGAAAGGUUUAGCGGACAUGGAUGGGGAUGCGUCCGAUUAGCUAGUUGGCGGGGUAACGGCCCACCAAGGCGACGAUCGGUAGGGGUUCUGAGAGGAAGGUCCCCCCACAUUGGAACUGAGACACGGUCCAAACUCCUACGGGAGGCAGCAGUGAGGAAUAUUGGUCAAUGGACGUAAGUCUGAACCAGCCAAGUAGCGUGCAGGAUGACGGCCCUAUGGGUUGUAAACUGCUUUUAUGCGGGGAUAAAGUGUGGGACGUGUCCCAUAUUGCAGGUACUGCAUGAAUAAGGACCGGCUAAUUCCGUG
RNAcentral lists this ribosomal RNA (491 nucleotides) under uncultured bacterium. RNAcentral describes it as "bacterial SSU rRNA". It matches the Rfam family "Bacterial small subunit ribosomal RNA", at positions 28 to 507 of the family's 1533-position model. The record is from RNAcentral.